AGAGUUUGAUCCUGGCUCAGAUUGAACGCUGGCGGCAUGCCUUACACAUGCAAGUCGAACGGUAACAGGUUAAGCUGACGAGUGGCGAACGGGUGAGUAAUGUAUCGGAACGUGCCCAGUCGUGGGGGAUAACUACUCGAAAGAGUGGCUAAUACCGCAUGAGACCUGAGGGUGAAAGCGGGGGAUCGCAAGACCUCGCGCGAUUGGAGCGGCCGAUAUCAGAUUAGCUAGUUGGCGGGGUAAAAGCCCACCAAGGCGACGAUCUGUAGCUGGUCUGAGAGGACGACCAGCCACACUGGGACUGAGACACGGCCCAGACUCCUACGGGAGGCAGCAGUGGGGAAUUUUGGACAAUGGACGAAAGUCUGAUCCAGCCAUGCCGCGUGCGGGAAGAAGGCCUUCGGGUUGUAAACCGCUUUUGUCAGGGAAGAAACGACGUCCUCUAAUACAGGGUGUUAAUGACGGUACCUGAAGAAUAAGCACCGGCUAACUACGUGCCAGCAGCCGCGGUAAUACGUAGGGUGCAAGCGUUAAUCGGAAUUACUGGGCGUAAAGCGUGCGCAGGCGGUUAUGCAAGACAGAUGUGAAAUCCCCGGGCUCAACCUGGGAACUGCAUUUGUGACUGCAUGGCUAGAGUACGGUAGAGGGGGAUGGAAUUCCGCGUGUAGCAGUGAAAUGCGUAGAUAUGCGGAGGAACACCGAUGGCGAAGGCAAUCCCCUGGACCUGUACUGACGCUCAUGCACGAAAGCGUGGGGAGCAAACAGGAUUAGAUACCCUGGUAGUCCACGCCCUAAACGAUGUCAACUGGUUGUUGGGAGGGUUUCUUCUCAGUAACGUAGCUUACGCGUGAAGUUGACCGCCUGGGGAGUACGGCCGCAAGGUUGAAACUCAAUGGAAUUGACGGGGACCCGCACAAGCGGUGGAUGAUGUGGUUCAAUUCGAUGCAACGCGAAAAACCUUACCUACCCUUGACAUGUCUGGAAUCCUGAAGAGAUUUGGGAGUGCUCGAAAGAGAGCCAGAACACAGGUGCUGCAUGGCCGUCGUCAGCUCGUGUCGUGAGAUGUUGGGUUAAGUCCCGCAACGAGCGCAACCCUUGUCAUUAGUUGCUACGAAAGGGCACUCUAAUGAGACUGCCGGUGACAAACCGGAGGAAGGUGGGGAUGACGUCAGGUCAUCAUGGCCCUUAUGGGUAGGGCUACACACGUCAUACAAUGGCCGGUACAGAGGGCUGCCAACCCGCGAGGGGGAGCCAAUCCCAGAAAACCGGUCGUAGUCCGGAUCGUAGUCUGCAACUCGACUGCGUGAAGUCGGAAUCGCUAGUAAUCGCGGAUCAGCUUGCCGCGGUGAAUACGUUCCCGGGUCUUGUACACACCGCCCGUCACACCAUGGGAGCGGGUUCUGCCAGAAGUAGUUAGCCUAACCGCAAGGGGGGCGAUUACCACGGCAGGGUUCGUGACUGGGGUGAAGUCGUAACAAGGUA
RNAcentral lists this ribosomal RNA (1482 nucleotides) under metagenome. RNAcentral's name for it is "bacterial SSU rRNA". It matches the Rfam family "Bacterial small subunit ribosomal RNA". The record is from RNAcentral.